GCAACAGUAGCUCAGUUUUGCAGAAAUGCUUUAUUAGGGAGCUGCUACCAGAGGCCUCUUCACCUUGGGCAUCUGCAAAAAUUGCUGCUCUGGACAGAGCUCAUUUAUGUAAGAAAUGGAUGACUAUACUUACUCAUUCAGUCACAGAAUCCUAAAACCAUGGAAUGGCUUUGGUUGCAAGCAACCUUGAAACCCAUCCAGUUCCAACUUACUGAUAUGGGCAGGGUUGCCACCCACCAGAUCAGGCUGCCCAGGGCCCCAUUCAAGCUGGCCUUGAACACCACCAGUGAUGGAGUAUCCACAGCUUCUCUGGGCUGCCUGUGCCAGUGCCCAGAGUAGAGAGUUUCUUCUAAACAUCUAGCCUAAAUCUCCUCUCUUUUUGUUUAAAACUCUUUCUCCUCAUCUUGUCACUAUCAAACCAUGUAAAAGUCAUUCUCCCACCUGUCAGUAAGUUCUCUUUAAGAACUGGAAGGCUGCAAUCCUUGGAGCCUUCUCUUCUCCACACUGAACAAGUUCAGCUCCUUCAGCCUCUCUUCAUAGCUGAGGUGAUCCAGCCCUCUGAUCAUUUUCAUGGCCUUGUCUGGACCCACUCCAAUAGCUCCAUGCUUUUCUUGUGCUGGGGGCCUCAGGCCUGGAUGCAGUACUCCAGCUGGGGCCUCACAAGGGCAGGGUAGAGGGGGGCAAUCACCUCCUUCCCCUCGUGGCCACCCCUCUUUAGAUGCAGCCAAGGAUAGAGGUGGCCUUCUGGGCUGCCACCUUACCAUGGAAUGGUAGUAAGGCUGUGGAGCGAUGCUGCAAUGACCAGAAUUCUUCUCAGCAAUGUCUUCUGUGGUGAGCAGUGUUUCCUUGAUGUUCCUAACCACUUGGUCUCUGAUGAAUUAGCAGUACCUUAAAAUGAGUUUUGCUUUCAGGUCAGGAUAAGCCUUGCAAUGAAAGAAUGAGACUGUUCUUGCUUCUAAGCAUCUACAGUUUUCAUCCAUGCCUCUAAAAGGCAACACAGUUUAUUGCAGAAUCCUUUCUGACCUUCUAAUGGAGUAUUACCCAGGUCCUGACAGGCAGACUCAGGACAUUUGUAUAUGAUUGUGAUGUGCUUCGGAUGGGUUUGAAUGGUAUGUGUUUGCAUUCUUAAAUUAUAUACUCAAUGAAGCAUUCAAAAACAAAUGUUCAACCCCUAUGAGGUCUGAUAAAAGCCCUAAAGCUGAACAGAAUUUCAAAAUAGAAAUUGAUCCCAGAUGUCUUAAGUAUGUUUUUCCAGGCCUGCAAUUUAAACAAGUUACAGCAGUAUUCACCUUCAUAUAGUUUUUGAUCAUUACAGUAUGAAUUCUCACUGACAGCAGUGGAGAUCACGAGGACCUUUCCUGAUUUUCAACACCAGGUUUUACUUGUUUGGAUUCUAUUCCAGAUUGUCAGAUGUGCUGUGUGUUAAGGAAAACCACACAUUUGAUGAUGGAUAGUACAGCUGCCUGCCACAUGUACAGCAGCAGCAUUAGCACUUUUUAAUUUUCCCCCUCUUUCAGCUCCAGCCCUGGAAUCCAUUACAUAGCUAGCAUCUUACAAGUGCUGUCUUACUUUGACCCUUACCUCAGAAAAUGCUCCUUAAUAGCAGGCUGGCUUACAGCCUUCCUCUAGCCUCUAAAUUUAAAAGAAAGAGAAGUGUCCAACAGGUAGGAAGCCAGUCUGGGAGAUGAAUACUCAGUUUCUUUCCCUGCACAGUCUGUGAUCUGUGGCAAAUAAGGUCAUCCUCGUGCCCUAGAUCCAUAUCUGUAAAAUAAGAUACUAUUUUUUUUCUUUUUCUUUGUUUUGCUUCCAUGAUGGAUAAACAUAAUCAAAUGAUCAGAUACUGCAGUAACCAAAAGUUUGCAAUUAACUGGGAUAAGGUGUGCAAAAUGCCUCUGGAAAAUAAUCAUUUAAUGAUUGAUUUCAAGGGUAUUGAUCAUGGCCCACUUUAAACAGCCUGCCUCUGUCACAGACCAACUGCAUCAUAAUGCACUGAACUCAUUCAGUGCAGAUCUGUGUCCUCAAUAAAAAUGCGUGUGGCCCCAGUCUGAUCCUAGAAUCUGAGUAAAUGCUUUUAGGUAUAUUUUAGGUAGGAAUGUACCUCCAAGGAGCCAACACAACCCUGAAUCAAUGACAUAGUGUAUCUCCAGAUGAAGCACCUACAGGUAUUGAAAAUUUACUGCACUAGGAAAUAAGCUCUCUAGUUCAUGUUUACCUGCCAUGUUAUCUGACAUGAUGUUUCAGUCCUUCUGGCCCAGCUUUUACAGGCAAUACUGAAACUGAGCCUAGUGGUUCCUAUUGACUGUGUAUGUUGUAUCUCUCACUGAGUAGCCAAAUGCGGACUUCUUAAAAACACUGUGAUGUGACACUGAAAAUAAUCACAGAAUGGUUGAAGUUGAAAGGGAUCUUUGGAGGUCAUCUGAUCCAUUCUCCCCAGCUCAAGAAGGGCCAUCCAGUGCCAGAUCCAGAUCCAGACUCCUCAGCCUCUCUGGGCAACCUGUGUCAGUGCUCCAUCAUCAGCACAGCAUAGAAGUCUACUUUUGAUGUUGACACAUCCUCCUGUGUUCCAGUUUGUGCCCAUUGCUUCUUCUCCUGGAGCUUGGCUUCAUCUUCUUUGCAUCCUCCCUUCAGGUAUUUCUAUACAUCGAUGGCCACUGAGCCUCAUCUUCUCCAGGUUGGACAGCCCCAGCUCUCUUGGUCUUUCUUCACAGGAAAGCAGAGCAGUACUCUCAGCCUGCAGGUGGCACAGCCCACUCUGUCUUCUGAAGAGUGCUCAAAAAAUGAAUGAGAAACGUAAAUCUUUAAUUUACAUAUAAGUCUCAACACUUAUUCUAGGAGGAAAAAAAUGAGAUUUUAGGCUGUCUGUUGUAGUAGAUCAUGGUACAGGCUUCACCUGACAAGUCUCAGACAUUUAUGUAUGCAUUACAGCUUCUGGGGUCCUGGCCAAGCUUCCACUUUUAUAUUUCACAUGGCAACUGUAAUUAUAGCUGUGACUCUUAGUUUGUGAACUGUUAUCUUAACCCCUAUAUAAAUCCAUGUCUGUGAAUAUAUAUACAAUAUGCAGUAAAGUCAAGAAUAUUUUCAGUGAGGGAACAGCAUGCAGAGGCCACUGCUGUUUCCUUUUGUGAAGUAUGUUUACAAGUGGCCACACUAAAUCAUGAUGCCCUGAUAUUCCCACAGCUUAGACAGCUGUGUUAGGGCUGAAACAAGCUGGGGUGAAGUGCGACAGCCCACACAUGUGAUUCCACAAGUGCACUGCCCCUUGGCUUGCCACAUCCUUUGAGUAAUUCCAAAUCCUAGGAUCAGAAGCAGAACCAUACCUGGAAAUAAUUAUCUUACAGUCAGAUUAGUGGUGUAUACUGAAAAUAUCAUUAUGAACACAAGAUUUGGUUCUCAAAUUUAGGUGUAUGUUCUGUUUGCCUCAAACACAUCAUAAAGAGCCAGAUAAUAGAUCGCAAGCAGGUUUUGGAGUUUAGCCUCUUGUGACUAUGGUCAGAAAGCUGGAUGGGAUCUCAAUGCUCCGUUCGUGCCUUCUGCUACCUGGGUGUGUGUGAACAGUCCUGUGUGCCAAGCACUGUUCUUACAAACCAGGUCAUGAGACCUCUGUCUCAUCAAAGCAAGUUAAAAGAAAAAGAAAUCUCAACUAUUUUCUAAAAAUAGAAAAGCUGACCUGUGAGAAAAGGGAGAAAAUGCUUAUUUGCUGACAGGCAAAAUAAUGGGGAGGGAAGAGGUCUGUCAUAGUAAUUUACAAUGGCUUGUCAAUCAGGAGCCUGUAGAGACAUGGGUUAACGCACACAUGACAAUGAAAUCCAUGAAGUCUGUGCAAGCUCCAACCCAGAUAUUGCAUGUUCCUGGUAGCACACCAUGUCCAACCUGAGAUAUGCAUAUAUUCUUUGAUAGUAAUCUGAAAGCACAAGUGAAGGUGAAGGGAAAACAGUCGGAGCUGUUGAAAAGAAUUAAAAUGAGUUUACUGUAGACUUAGAGUUUCAGCACUUGUCAAAGGAAGUGGACAUAAAUGGAAACUAAAUUGAAAGUGAGUGAGGUUCCCCUCAGUCAACGCAGUAUGCCACUGCUACUAGUCAGCCACAGCUGGGAGAGACUAUUUAUUUAUCAGUAAACAACUCUGAAGUUGUCCACAUGUUUCAGUGACACAGUAAUCCUGAAAAAAAAGAAAAACAAUGAAGUUGAACUGAAGUCUGAGGUUCAAAAAAAAAAAAAGAAAACCCUUGAAAAAACAAAUGGUAAAUGUGCAGGAGAUCAUUCAAGUGCGUUGGCACACAGAAGGAAUAACACAGUGGACAAAAGAUCAUUUGGCUAUAUUUCAUUAAAGGUACUUUUCUGAAGCUAGGAAUCCUAAUUAAAAGUUUUGAGGGCUUUUUUUUAGAAUCCUUAUAUUUUAUGAAGCCAGAAAUUUUCAUUUACAGCCCCCUAAGGUUUGAUUUCAGACUGUUUCCUUUUUUCACUCGUUUGCAACUGCAUACAAAUGAGGACGGAGGUUUUAUUCCCUUCUUAUCUUUUUGCUAUUCCUUUUAUUCUGCCUAAAAUACUGUUUUUUUCAUCCUCUCCACAGAAUCUCUGUUCUCAUUGUCUGAGACUUGAAUGGCUAUUUUUAAAAUAAUGUUUUUAUUCUUGCAAAUAUGAUUUUACAAUGGAGCAGGGAGCGCUGCUUCUAUGCUGAAACUUUUCAUCUGUCUGUUUUAAGCUACACCAUUAACUUGUCAUAUUUGUCCAAGUAUUCAUUCUACAGAGAAUUUGUUCCCAAAGUUAAACUUGUUACAUUAUGAAGUUCAAAAAUUUUAAGCAGACCAAAGUAAAGUGAGGGGGGAAAAAAUGAAGUAAACAAAUAUUUCAAAGGAUGAAAAAAUAAACUGAAAAAAAAAAAAAACCCUUCAUUUUGCUUGUUAGUAAUUCAGUGCAUUUAUGAUGUCAUAAAUGCUCAGUUUUAUUUUGGGUUACAUUUUCUGGCUGAGAUACAGAGAUUCUCAGAAAACUGACAUUUGAAAUAGAAAGUCAGCAGUAACCUAAUUUGGAAUGCAAUGAACCUAAGUAGAGGGGACAGAACUGAAAGCACUGCCACUCGGGAGUUGCGAAAUGCAAUAGAAAAGCCUGUCAUCUUUGUUUUGUUCUUAAAAUAUGUAACAAAAUAAACGCUGGAAACAUGAAUUGUGUUUUCAUUUUGCUGUGCUUCUGCUAGACGCGUUGUUCACAGACCCUACCAGUGUAUAACAUGACAUGCCAUGGUUUCUGCACUCAGAUCGUUCACUCUUAUGUUACUGCUCAAGUAUGCAUUCAGAAAAGAGCCAACAGAUAUAGUAGAUUUAUUCUAGCUGUUGAGGUCAAGGGCUC
Molecule: long non-coding RNA, 5343 nt
Filed under: Gallus gallus (chicken)
Lineage: Eukaryota; Metazoa; Chordata; Aves; Galliformes; Phasianidae
Source: RNAcentral